This 460-nucleotide ribosomal RNA is filed under the name uncultured bacterium. Its description in RNAcentral is "partial 16S ribosomal RNA". It matches the Rfam family "Bacterial small subunit ribosomal RNA", at positions 338 to 795 of the family's 1533-position model. The record is from RNAcentral.
CCUACGGGGGGCAGCAGUGAGGAAUAUUGGUCAAUGGACGCAAGUCUGAACCAGCCAUGCCGCGUGCAGGAAGACGGCUCUAUGAGUUGUAAAUUGCUUUUGUACGAGGGUAAACGCAGAUACGCGUAUCUGUCUGCAAGUAUCUUACGAACAAGGAUCGGCUAACUCCGUGCCAACAGCCGCGGUAAUACGGAGGAUUCAAGCGUUAUCCGGAUUUAUUGGGUUGAAAGGGUGCGUAGGCGGUCUGAUAAGUUAGAUGUGAAAUCCCGGGGCUCAACUUCGGAAUUGCCUCUGAUACUGGUCGGCUAGAGAGUAGUUGCGGUAGGCAGAAUGUAUGGUGGAGCGGUGAAAUGCUUAGAGAUCAUACAGAACACCGAUUGCGAAGGCAGCUUACCAGGCUACUUCUGACGUUGAGGCACGAAAGCGUGGGGAGCAAACAGGAUUAGAUACCCCAGUAGUC